GGUCGCAUGUCUUGGGUACGGAUUCCCGUCGCAGCCAGAGAGCCCCACGAGCUCGGGUGGCCGAAGUUCCUUCGUGAGGACGGCAGGUGACCCCGGAGGCCCAAAUGGUCAGUCAUUCGAGGCCCCAGAAGCCCCAGAGAAUUCCUGCAGCCUGCAUGUCCAGGGACAUACCUUGGGAGAACAGCAGAAUGUGGGAACAGAAGAAUGAGGACCACUCCCAAGAGCCACUCCCAAGAGCCAAUGGCCAACCUUCCUAUCUUUGGAUAAGGUGAAGAGAAGGAAAAAAAAUGCACAGGGGAAGUGGUAAGAUGCUGUGUGAUGCUCCUCCCCACAGACCUCCCCUGGUCAGGGGCCAGUUAAUGGGUUGGGCUUAAAGAUUUUGUCUUCAGAAGCAAUAGCAGAGUAGAUGUCCUUGUUUUUACUUCCAAUCUCACCCUGAGGGGUCAUACCUACUGUGGAACACAGCAUUAGAGCACAACUCUAGGCGUUAAAUGUGGCAAAGAGAGGGAAAAAUAAACAAAAUUGUUGGAAUUAA
This is an RNA transcript of Marmota flaviventris (yellow-bellied marmot), 535 nucleotides long. It is a transcript of the gene named zinc finger protein 14-like, with no coding region annotated. NCBI's taxonomy places the organism in Eukaryota, Metazoa, Chordata, Mammalia, Rodentia, Sciuridae. The record is from RefSeq and is a predicted model, not a curated record.